Molecule: ribosomal RNA, 252 nt
Filed under: uncultured bacterium
Lineage: Bacteria
Description: partial 16S ribosomal RNA
Rfam family: Bacterial small subunit ribosomal RNA
Source: RNAcentral
UACGUAGGGGGCUAGCGUUGUCCGGAAUCAUUGGGCGUAAAGCGCGUGUAGGCGGUCCGGUAAGUCCGCUGUGAAAGUCGAGGGCUCAACCCUCGAAUGCCGGUGGAUACUGUCGGGCUUGAGUACGGGAGAGGCGAGUGGAAUUCCUGGUGUAGCGGUGAAAUGCGCAGAUAUGGAGGAACACCGGUGGCGAAGGCGGCUCUCUGGACCGAGACGUGACGCUGAGGCGCGAAAGCGUGGGGAGCGAACAGG